RNAcentral lists this ribosomal RNA (253 nucleotides) under uncultured bacterium. RNAcentral's name for it is "partial 16S ribosomal RNA". It matches the Rfam family "Bacterial small subunit ribosomal RNA", at positions 524 to 776 of the family's 1533-position model. The record is from RNAcentral.
UACAGAGGCCUCAAGCGUUGUUCGGAUUCAUUGGGCGUAAAGGGUGCGUAGGUGGCUUGAUAAGUCGGGGGUGAAAUCCCGGGGCUCAACCUCGGAAUUGCCUUCGAUACUGUCUGUCUUGAGUCCGGGAGAGGUGAGUGGAAUUCCUAGUGUAGAGGUGAAAUUCGUAGAUAUUAGGAAGAACACCAGUGGCGAAGGCGGCUCACUGGCCCGGUACUGACGCUCAUGUGCGAAAGCGUGGGGAGCAAACAGG